Molecule: long non-coding RNA, 1392 nt
Filed under: Sorghum bicolor (sorghum)
Lineage: Eukaryota; Viridiplantae; Streptophyta; Magnoliopsida; Poales; Poaceae
Description: long non-coding RNA (SBIC_LNC007049)
Source: RNAcentral
CCACUCAACAAAGAAUUUUUUUGCCGAGUGCGAGAACAUUGCACUCGGCUAAAAAACAUUUUUUUUAUUUUUUUAAAUAACUCUUUGCCGAGUGGCAGUGCCCGCACUCCGCAAAGAAACUUUUUUUUAUUUUUUUAAAUAACUCUUUGCCGAGUGUCAUAGAGCUACACUCGGUGAAGAAACAUUUUUUAUUUUUUUAACUAUCUCUUUGCCAAGUGUCGUGUUCCUAGCACUCGACAAAGGCCUCUUUGUCGAGUGCCACACUCGGCAAAGCUAACAUAUUUUUUAUUUUUUUCCUUUCUAGUGACACAAACUAAUAAAUCACAUAGAUAUCAUCACAAAUAGCACAUGAUACAUCACAUACAUGUUCAUAAUCCAUCGUAUACACAUCCAUCAUCCAUAAUCCAUCACAUACACAUAUAUUGUCCAUAAUUUGUCACAAUUCAUCACAUACACAUAUAGUGUCCGAAAUCCAUCACAUACAUAAUAAUAUAUCUCAACUAAAAAUCCAACACAAGUCUAUGUCCAAUAUAAGGCCGAGGAACAUGAAAAGAGAUAAAUGAACAAUACCUACUGCCAUCCUCCCCACCCAGAAUGUGAAGCGCCAGGCUGUUCUCCGUUCGGUGGAGGAGGGCCACUUGGCCACCCAGACUGUGGAGAAGGGCCACCAUGAGGAAUCGAGUUUUAACCUGCCGACUAUGGCUGCACAAAGGAGAAGCAAAUUCAUGAGUAUUUACGGGAGGGCCGCACAAGCUAAAGUAAUAAACCACCAUAUAUACUCAUCAACGUCCCUAUAGGAGGAGUAGGAGCCACAACUAGAGUGAGAAGCGACUCGGGGAUGACCACACCUAGCAAGGCCUGAAGGCUCUUCAUAAAGCUGAACAUGUCUCGUAUCCUCUACUCCCCAGCUGCCCUUUGGGCUUGUACGACCUCCAUCUCCAGCCGAUGGGCCAGCGCCUAGGCCGCCUGCUGGCCCUCUAACCUCUGCACAUCGGCCUGCAACAUUCCACACACAAUUUUUAAACAAUGCAAAGGCAAGGUAGAUGUGUAAAAGCAAUGAACAAUGAAUAAAAUAGUGCUAACCUAGAGGUUUGCCAUCACAUGCUGUGAGCUCUACUACUGAGGGUGUAUGGGGAGGGAGGAGCUUGUGCUCCUUGCUUGAAUCUUGGUGAGGUUGGGAAUAGAGGCGGAGUCGACUAUGUUGUCCAUCAUCUAGUAUCAGCCGCGCUGCUUCCCUCCUCCUAGCUUCAUUAGGAGGACUGUGUCUAGGGGCUCGACGGACGGAUCGAAGUCCUCCCCAUGGCGCUCAUGAGCCACCAAUGUGUACUUGCUAAGCUUGCUCUAGACACUCGCAUUGGUAUACGCCUCGGGCCCGUCCGCCGUGUUGUAGGU